Molecule: unclassified non-coding RNA, 532 nt
Filed under: uncultured Piloderma
Lineage: Eukaryota; Fungi; Basidiomycota; Agaricomycetes; Atheliales; Atheliaceae
Description: sequence contains ITS1, 5.8S rRNA gene and ITS2
Rfam family: 5.8S ribosomal RNA (bases 138-292)
Source: RNAcentral
UUAAUCCACUUUACACCUGUGCACUUAAUGUAGGUCGCCCUUAAAAAAGGUGACCUAUGUCUUAUCAUCAACCCAUCGUAUGUCUCAUAGAAUGUAAUCGAUAUCCUCGCCCUGAAAAAGCGUUGAUAAACUUAUACAACUUUCAACAACGGAUCUCUUGGCUCUCGCAUCGAUGAAGAACGCAGCGAAAUGCGAUAAGUAAUGUGAAUUGCAGAUUUUCAGUGAAUCAUCGAAUCUUUGAACGCACCUUGCGCUCCUUGGUAUUCCGAGGAGCAUGCCUGUUUGAGUGUCAUUAAAUUCUCAACUCCAAGGGUUUCACGACCUUUCGGAGAUUGGACUUGGAGGUGCUGGCCGCAUAUUGGUCGGCUCCUCUCAAAUGCAUCAGCGGAAUUCAACCUUUGGCUUCCGGAUGUCAGUGUGAUAAUCAUGUUGCGCUGUCGUUUGAUCCCUCAGAGUCCGCUUAUAAUGGUCUUCGGACAAAAUCAUCAUCAAAUUUGACCUCAAAUCAGGUAGGACUACCCGCUGAACUUAA